This 459-nucleotide ribosomal RNA is filed under the name uncultured bacterium. RNAcentral's name for it is "partial 16S ribosomal RNA". It matches the Rfam family "Bacterial small subunit ribosomal RNA", at positions 338 to 795 of the family's 1533-position model. The record is from RNAcentral.
CCUACGUGAGGCAGCAGUGAGGAAUAUUGGUCAAUGGGCGCGAGCCUGAACCAGCCAAGUAGCGUGAAGGAUGACUGCCCUAGGGGUUGUAAACUUCUUUUAUAAAGGAAUAAAGUGAGGCACGUGUACCUUUUUGUAUUUACUUUAUGAAUAAGGAUAGGCUACCUCCGUGCCAGCAGCCGCGGUAAUACGGAGGAUGCGAGCGUUAUCCGGAUUUGUUGGGUUUAAAGGGUGUGUAGGCGGAGCGUUAAGUCAGGGGUAAAAUUGAGGGGCUCAACCCCUUCCCGCCAUUGAUACUGGCGCUCUUGAGUGGAAGAGAGGUAUGCGGAAUGCGUGGUGGAGCGGUGAAAUGCAUAGAUAUCACGCAGAACCCCGAUUGCGAAGGCAGCAUGCCGGCUUCCGACUGACGCUGAAGCACGAAAGCGUGGGGAUCGAACAGGAUUAGAUACCCGAGUAGUC